RNAcentral lists this long non-coding RNA (230 nucleotides) under Lathyrus oleraceus (garden pea). RNAcentral's name for it is "Pisum sativum (pea) long non-coding RNA (PSAT_LNC023170)". Lineage: Eukaryota; Viridiplantae; Streptophyta; Magnoliopsida; Fabales; Fabaceae. The record is from RNAcentral.
CUUGCCGUGAAAUCAGCAGAACAAGAACAAGGAUUGCUCUAUAACUUCUCCCUUUCUUUUACACUCUCUUCUUCUUCUUCAUAAUACUCUACUCUUUUUCAUUCACUGUACUAUAACUUCUCCCUUUCUUUUACACUCUCUUCUUCUUCUUCAUAAUACUCUACUCUUUUUCAUUCACUGUUUUAUCUAUAAAAUCUUUUUCUUCUUCAAUUUCAAACCCAUUAAAACAG